RNAcentral lists this ribosomal RNA (112 nucleotides) under Caerostris darwini. The record is from RNAcentral. Lineage: Eukaryota; Metazoa; Arthropoda; Arachnida; Araneae; Araneidae.
ACGGCCGUUCCAAUGCUGAAUAUACCGGUUCUCGUUAGAUCACCGAAGUUAAGCAUCAUUGGGCGCGGUCAGUACUUGGGUGGGUGACCACCUGGGAACACUGCGUGCCGUU